This 477-nucleotide ribosomal RNA is filed under the name uncultured bacterium. RNAcentral describes it as "partial 16S ribosomal RNA". It matches the Rfam family "Bacterial small subunit ribosomal RNA", at positions 30 to 507 of the family's 1533-position model. The record is from RNAcentral.
AUUGAACGCUGGCGGCAUGCCUUACACAUGCCAGUCGAACGGUAACAGGUUAAGCUGACGAGUGGCGAACGGGUGAGUAAUACAUCGGAACGUGCCCAGUAGUGGGGGAUAGCCCGGCGAAAGCCGGAUUAAUACCGCAUACGACCUAAGGGUGAAAGGGGGGGAUCGCAAGACCUCUCGCUAUUGGAGCGGCCGAUGUCAGAUUAGCUAGUUGGUGGGGUAAAAGCUCACCAAGGCGACGAUCUGUAGCUGGUCUGAGAGGACGACCAGCCACACUGGGACUGAGACACGGCCCAGACUCCUACGGGGGGCAGCAGUGGGGAAUUUUGGACAAUGGGCGCAAGCCUGAUCCAGCCAUGCCGCGUGCGGGAAGAAGGCCUUCGGGUUGUAAACCGCUUUUGUCAGGGAAGAAAUCCUUUGGGUUAAUACCUCGGGGGGAUGACGGUACCUGAAGAAUAAGCACCGGCUAACUACGUG